CAAUAGCGUAUAUUAAAGUUGUUGCAGUUAAAAAGCUCGUAGUUGGAUUUCUGGUUGAAGCGACCGGUCGGGCGUUGAUUCGUCUGCACUGGAGUCGGUUUUGGCCAUCCUCUAGGAAAGUGCGUCUGGUAUUAAGUUAUCGGGCGUAUGAUCCUGGUCUUUUACUGUGAAAAAAUUAGAGUGUUUAAAGCAGGCCUUCGCCUUGAAUACAUUAGCAUGGAAUAAUAAGAUAGGACUUUGGUCUAUUUUGUUGGUUUACAGACCGAAGUAAUGAUUAAUAGGGAUAGUUGGGGGUAUUUAUAUUCCGAUGUCAGAGGUGAAAUUCUUAGAUUUUCGGAAGAUAAACUUAUGCGAAAGCAUUUACCAAGGAUGUUUUCAUUAA
Molecule: ribosomal RNA, 382 nt
Filed under: uncultured eukaryote
Lineage: Eukaryota
Description: partial 18S ribosomal RNA
Rfam family: Eukaryotic small subunit ribosomal RNA
Source: RNAcentral